CAGAGGCGCUGCGACCGCACGGGCAGCCCCGUCCCGCGCCGGGCAGCCCGGCCGGACCAUGGCAUGGGCACAGGGGGAUCUGACGUCCUCGCUUUCCAUCGUCGUCGCCUUGGCUGCCUGCAUUUCCGCCACCACCAGCGAAGUGAACUUGCUAGACACAUCGACGAUCCCGGGGGACUGGGGCUGGCUCACUUACCCUUCACAUGGGGUAAGUAUGAGGUGGCUGUCGGCACUUUGGGGCUCCAGAGGGACAGGCCACCACUGGCCCACGUGGGCAGGGUGAGUGGACAUCUCAGCCCUGGGCUGGUGGCUUCGUCAGUGCUGAUGGGGCAGAGAGGACCUCGUCUGCUGGGAAAAUGCCGUGCCGGAAAGGCUAGCAGUGGGAUGUGGCCCGUUAGAAAAUGUCAUUUUACACUGCUCCUAGCCCACUGGGAGGGUGGAGAGAAACAGGUUUGCUCAAUCUUCACUGAGUCCUAAGCUUUGAGAUAGUCACUGUCUCCAGGGAAUUCAACAUC
RNAcentral lists this long non-coding RNA (515 nucleotides) under Dromaius novaehollandiae (emu). RNAcentral describes it as "lncRNA (ENSDNVG00000016034.1)". The record is from RNAcentral. Lineage: Eukaryota; Metazoa; Chordata; Aves; Casuariiformes; Dromaiidae.